GAUGAAGAACGCAGCGAAAUGCGAUAAGUAAUGUGAAUUGCAGAAUUCAGUGAAUCAUCGAAUCUUUGAACGCACAUUGCGCCCGUCAGUAUUCUGGCGGGCAUGCCUGUUCGAGCGUCAUUACGCCCCUCAAGUCCCCUGUGGACUUGGUGUUGGGGAUCGGCGAGGCUGGUUUUCCAGCACAGCCGUCCCUUAAAUUAAUUGGCGGUCUCGCCGUGGCCCUCCUCUGCGCAGUAGUAAAACACUCGCAACAGGAGCCCGGCGCGGUCCACUGCCGUAAAACCCCCCAACUUUUUAUAGUUGACCUCGAAUCAGGUAGGACUACCCGCUGAACUUAAGCAUAUCAAUAGCGGAGG
Molecule: unclassified non-coding RNA, 356 nt
Filed under: soil metagenome
Description: partial contains 5.8S ribosomal RNA, internal transcribed spacer 2, and large subunit ribosomal RNA
Rfam family: 5.8S ribosomal RNA (bases 1-120)
Source: RNAcentral